RNAcentral lists this ribosomal RNA (477 nucleotides) under Triticum aestivum (bread wheat). Its description in RNAcentral is "partial small subunit ribosomal RNA". Lineage: Eukaryota; Viridiplantae; Streptophyta; Magnoliopsida; Poales; Poaceae. The record is from RNAcentral.
AUGGACGUCUCAGGCACCGGAGCUGGCGCCAAGGGCAAGAAGGGCGCGGCCGGGCGCAAGGCCGGCGGCCCCAGGAAGAAGUCGGUGACGCGCUCCGUCAAGGCCGGGCUCCAGUUCCCCGUCGGCCGCAUCGGGCGCUACCUCAAGAAGGGCCGCUACGCCCAGCGCGUCGGCACCGGCGCCCCCGUCUACCUCGCCGCCGUCCUCGAGUACCUCGCCGCCGAGCUGCUGGAGCUCGCCGGAAACGCCGCCAAGGACAACAAGAAGAGCCGCAUCAUCCCGCGCCACCUGCUGCUCGCUGUCAGGAACGACGAGGAGCUCGGAAAGCUGCUGGCCGGCGUCACCAUCGCGCACGGUGGCGUGAUCCCCAAGAUCAACCCGGUGCUCCUCCCCAAGAGGACCGCGGAGAAGGAGGGCAAGGAGCCCAAGUCUCCUAAGAAGACGACCAAGUCCCCCAAGAAGACCACCAAGGCUUAG